GCCUGGCUGGCUCAGUUGGUACAGCAUGUGAUUCUCAAUCUCAGGGUCAUGAGUUUGAGCCCCAUGUUGGGCA
This 73-nucleotide transfer RNA is filed under the name Felis catus (domestic cat). It matches the Rfam family "tRNA". From Rfam's summary of the family: Transfer RNA (tRNA) molecules are approximately 80 nucleotides in length. Their secondary structure includes four short double-helical elements and three loops (D, anti-codon, and T loops). The record is from Rfam by way of RNAcentral. RNAcentral also lists the same sequence under 2 other names. Lineage: Eukaryota; Metazoa; Chordata; Mammalia; Carnivora; Felidae.